AUGCAAGUCGAACGAGUUCUGAUUAUUGAAAGGUGCUUGCAUCUUGAUUUAAUUUUGAACGAGUGGCGGACGGGUGAGUAACACGUGGGUAACCUGCCCUUAAGUGGGGGAUAACAUUUGGAAACAGAUGCUAAUACCGCAUAAAUCCAAGAACCGCAUGGUUCUUGGCUGAAAGAUGGCGUAAGCUAUCGCUUUUGGAUGGACCCGCGGCGUAUUAGCUAGUUGGUGAGGUAACGGCUCACCAAGGCAAUGAUACGUAGCCGAACUGAGAGGUUGAUCGGCCACAUUGGGACUGAGACACGGCCCAAACUCCUACGGGAGGCAGCAGUAGGGAAUCUUCCACAAUGGACGCAAGUCUGAUGGAGCAACGCCGCGUGAGUGAAGAAGGCUUUCGGGUCGUAAAACUCUGUUGUUGGAGAAGAAUGGUCGGCAGAGUAACUGUUGUCGGCGUGACGGUAUCCAACCAGAAAGCCACGGCUAACUACGUGCCAGCAGCCGCGGUAAUACGUAGGUGGCAAGCGUUAUCCGGAUUUAUUGGGCGUAAAGCGAGCGCAGGCGGUUUUUUAAGUCUGAUGUGAAAGCCCUCGGCUUAACCGAGGAAGUGCAUCGGAAACUGGGAAACUUGAGUGCAGAAGAGGACAGUGGAACUCCAUGUGUAGCGGUGAAAUGCGUAGAUAUAUGGAAGAACACCAGUGGCGAAGGCGGCUGUCUG
This 712-nucleotide ribosomal RNA is filed under the name uncultured Bacilli bacterium. RNAcentral describes it as "bacterial SSU rRNA". It matches the Rfam family "Bacterial small subunit ribosomal RNA", at positions 55 to 731 of the family's 1533-position model. Lineage: Bacteria; Bacillati; Bacillota; Bacilli. The record is from RNAcentral.